RNAcentral lists this small RNA (63 nucleotides) under Arabidopsis thaliana (thale cress). RNAcentral's name for it is "ATSL102760". The record is from RNAcentral. Lineage: Eukaryota; Viridiplantae; Streptophyta; Magnoliopsida; Brassicales; Brassicaceae.
UAUCAUCUUAUGUUAUAUUCCGGAUCUAUAAGUACCGAUAGUUUAUUUUGACAGAAGAAAAAU